This 324-nucleotide long non-coding RNA is filed under the name Cicer arietinum (chickpea). RNAcentral describes it as "long non-coding RNA (CARI_LNC003560)". The record is from RNAcentral. Lineage: Eukaryota; Viridiplantae; Streptophyta; Magnoliopsida; Fabales; Fabaceae.
GAAGUUAAAAUUCUGUUGAAUUCAACAAUGGAUGGGGUAGGAUUUAUACUGAGCAUGCGAUGGAAUGAGGAAACAGCAUGAUUAACAUCAAAUUCGUUGGAAUUGAAAGGAGAAUGAGAAGAGAAUGAAAGAAGGAGAGUGUUUGAAGAAGAAAUUGGAAGAAAAUUGGGAAUGGAAGAAAGAGAGAAAGCAUACCUUGUUAGGGUUAAUAACUUUGAAACUGAGAGAGACAACAUCAUUGUUGCUGAAACUGAAUUGUGUGAACUUCACUGUCACUGCUCGAUGCAAGAUAACCUUAUUUUACUUUAAACUUUUUUGGUUAAU